GUCAUAAUAUAUUUUAACGUUAUAUGUUUCCUGUUCUUCAUCUUUUUAAAUAUGAAGUCUAUCCAUGUUUGUGUUUACAGAGGUCAUGUACACUGUGGUCAACUUUGUGGGCGCUGAAGAGGUUUCUGGGUAAAGAUGAUAGAAAUAUAAUGAAGUAACAGUGAAAGCUAAAACAUCAGACUGAUCCAGACACUGAAGAAAUUGAUGUCACUGCAAUCUGGCCAAAAUGAUACAACUAUAUUGAAGUAGCCUACUGUAAUGAAGCUGCAGAACAACACAGAGACUCUGAGGACAUCAACACAGAAAAUGAAGGCUCCAAAGAGAUGUCUGUCCAGAUGAGGGUGCAUCAACUUUACCUUUGCUGACAACAGUUAACUUAACUCAAACCAUUUAAGGAAAUCGGUUGCCUUAAACCAUUAAGUUUUAAAAAACAUACAUUUGAGUACUGUGAACUUAAGUCUUGUGCAAUUAUGCACUUAUAUUUAGGUAGUGUGAACUUAAAUAUAAGUGCAUAACUGCAUGUGACUCAAUUUUUUUAAGUUCACAGUACUCAAAUCUAUGUGUUUUAAAACUUGAAUGGUUUAAUGCAACCGGUUUUCUUAAAUGUGAGAAAUGACAGUGUUACAGUGAGAAAUGUUUGAUUAAUUCCAAGACAGAGCUCUGCUAUUGAAUCUACACUGCAAAAAAUCACUUUCUAACUUAGGAUUUUUAUCUUGUUUUCAGUAGAAAAACUAAAA
Molecule: long non-coding RNA, 737 nt
Organism: Paramisgurnus dabryanus
Lineage: Eukaryota; Metazoa; Chordata; Actinopteri; Cypriniformes; Cobitidae
Source: RefSeq, a predicted model, not a curated record